UGCGGUUAUACAAAAAUUAAAUUAAUUUCUUUUAGGAUUUAAUAAAUAAAAAUUUAUUUAAUAAUUUAAAUUUUAAAUUAUAAAGUGAAAUUUAAAUUUAAUUGAAAUUUAUUUAUUUUUAUGACAUUAAUAAAUUUUAUAAAAAACUAGGAUUAGAUACCCUAUUAUAAAAAUUUAAAUUUAAUAAUCUUAAAAUAGUAUAUAAUUUUUUAUAAAAACUUAAAUAAUUUGGCGGUAUUUUAGUUCAUUUAGAGGAAUCUGUCUAAUAAUUGAUAAUCCACGAUUAAAUUUACUUAAUUUUUAAUUUUGUAUAUCGUUGUUAAAAAAAUAUUUUUUAAUAAAAAUAAUAUUUUAAAAUUAAAAUAAAAAAUUAAAUCAGAUCAAGAUGCAGAUUAUAAUUAAGAAUAUGAUGGAUUACAAUAAAUUUAUUUUAUUUGGAUGUUAAUUUGAAAUAAAUUAAUUGAAAUUGGAUUUAAAUGUAAUUUUAUUAAUUUUAUUAAAAUGAUUUUAAAUUAAAAUAUGUACAUAUUGCCCGUCGCUUUCAUUUAUAAAUUGAAAUAAGUCGUAACAAAGUAGAGGUACUGGAAAGUGUUUCUAGAAAGAU
RNAcentral lists this ribosomal RNA (604 nucleotides) under Zygaena storaiae storaiae. Its description in RNAcentral is "partial 12S ribosomal RNA". Lineage: Eukaryota; Metazoa; Arthropoda; Insecta; Lepidoptera; Zygaenidae. The record is from RNAcentral.